CCUACCUAUAAGACUGGGAUAACUUCGGGAAACCGGAGCUAAUACCGGAUAACAUUUGGAACCGCAUGGUUCUAAAGUGAAAGAUGGUUUUGCUAUCACUUAUAGAUGGACCCGCGCCGUAUUAGCUAGUUGGUAAGGUAACGGCUUACCAAGGCNACGAUACGUAGCCGACCUGAGAGGGUGAUCGGCCACACUGGAACUGAGACACGGUCCAGACUCCUACGGGAGGCAGCAGUAGGGAAUCUUCCGCAAUGGGCGAAAGCCUGACGGAGCAACGCCGCGUGAGUGAUGAAGGGUUUCGGCUCGUAAAAACUCUGUUAUUACGGGAAGAACAAACACGUGUAAGUAACUGUGCAUGUCUUGACGGUACCUAAUCAGAAAGCCACGGCUAACUACGUGCCAGCAGCCGCGGUACAUACGUAGGUGGCAAGCGUNAUCCGGGAAUUAUUGGGCCGUAAAAGCGCCGCGUUAGGCGGGUNACAUUAAGUCCUGAUUGUGAACAGGCCCGCGGGUCCACCCGGUGNGACGGGUCAUCUGGGAAACACUGGGGGACAACCUUGACNUUGCGACAGNAGGAAAGUGG
RNAcentral lists this ribosomal RNA (583 nucleotides) under Staphylococcus sp. UST050418-175. RNAcentral's name for it is "bacterial SSU rRNA". The stretch from base 1 to 439 matches the Rfam family "Bacterial small subunit ribosomal RNA", at positions 125 to 546 of the family's 1533-position model. Lineage: Bacteria; Bacillati; Bacillota; Bacilli; Caryophanales; Staphylococcaceae. The record is from RNAcentral.